UGGGGGAAUUUUGACAAUGGGCGAAAGCCUGAUCCAGCAAUGCCGCGUGUGUGAAGAAGGCCUUCGGGUUGUAAAGCACUUUUGUCCGGAAAGAAAUCCUUGGCUCUAAUACAGUCGGGGGAUGACGGUACCGGAAGAAUAAGCACCGGCUAACUACGUGCCAGCAGCCGCGGUAAUACGUAGGGUGCAAGCGUUAAUCGGAAUUACUGGGCGUAAAGCGUGCGCAGGCGGUUUGCUAAGACCGAUGUGAAAUCCCCGGGCUCAACCUGGGAACUGCAUUGGUGACUGGCAGGCUAGAGUAUGGCAGGAGGGGGGUAGAAUUCCACGUGUAGCAGUGAAAUGCGUAGAGAUGUGGAGGAAUACCGAUGGCGAAGGCAGCCCCCUGGGCCAAUUACUGACGCUCAUGCACGAAAGCGUGGGGGAGCAAAACAGGAUUAGAUACCCUGGUAGUCCACGCCCUAAACGAUGUCAACUAGUUGUUGGGGAUUCAUUUCCUUAGUAACGUAGCUAACGCGUGAAGUUGACCGCCUGGGGAGUACGGUCGCAAGAUUAAAACUCAAAUGAAUUGACGGGGUCAUAGCUGUUUCCU
RNAcentral lists this ribosomal RNA (589 nucleotides) under uncultured bacterium. Its description in RNAcentral is "partial 16S ribosomal RNA". It matches the Rfam family "Bacterial small subunit ribosomal RNA", at positions 355 to 1375 of the family's 1533-position model. The record is from RNAcentral.